This is a long non-coding RNA of Homo sapiens (human), 810 nucleotides long. Ensembl annotates it as MAP9 antisense RNA 1. Its record names the gene MAP9-AS1. NCBI's taxonomy places the organism in Eukaryota, Metazoa, Chordata, Mammalia, Primates, Hominidae. The record is from Ensembl.
GCUCUAUUCCAGAAGCAGUCUGGAGCACAAAGAAUCCCUAAUCACUGACAUUAAGAAAGAAGAAAAAUAUUCCUAGGACGAUCCUGGAGAGCAAAGGUCAUCAGCAGUCACUUGACUUUCCUUGGAUUUCUCAACUGCAGUAGUCACAUGGUCUGCUGAAAAUGAAUUCUCUUUAUUUUCAUCUGAUUUCAAGGAAUUAUGGUUUUCAGUGAUUUCUUCAUUUGGAUCUAUUUUGAGACAGAGUAAUAGCAUUAAAACCCCCUUCUGAAUUAAUAAGGCAUUUGUUGCUGAAACGCAAAGUGUGACAAGCCAAUGGAGUAUUUUAUGGGUGCAAAGGAAAUUAUAUGUCAAAAGCAAUGGAGAGAAAACAUUUGAGAAAAUGGAAGAAGUGCUGAGACACUGGAGUCUACCCUGAAAGAUAAAGCUUCACCUGAGGAGAUCUGCAAAUUAGUAGCUUUUUGCCAGAAGGCAUUCUCCAGUCUAUGCAGCUCAAGUAAUAGAAGGCUACAGCCUUGGUGGAAUGACUUGAGGGAACAGGGGACUGAGUCUAGGACCAUCAGAUCAGCCAAUAAGUAUGUGGAAAAUAGCAGAGGACAGUGACCACAAAAUCUGCAUAUGAAAUUCACCAAAAACCUUUACCACCUCUAUUUGUGGCAUAAGGGAGACCUCAGAGGAUCCUGUAAAAGCAUAGAAGCUAGAAACUGAAAAGAAUUAAGCAGAAAUUUCAGCUGAUAUCCACUGCAGGAGAAACAGGAUUGGGAAUUUGUGUCCAGCCAUGAUAUCCACUUGCUAGAAAAUAUGUUUGAAGGG